RNAcentral lists this ribosomal RNA (615 nucleotides) under Synechococcus sp. LS0503. RNAcentral describes it as "bacterial SSU rRNA". It matches the Rfam family "Bacterial small subunit ribosomal RNA", at positions 122 to 770 of the family's 1533-position model. Lineage: Bacteria; Bacillati; Cyanobacteriota; Cyanophyceae; Synechococcales; Synechococcaceae. The record is from RNAcentral.
GAAUCUGCCCUCAGGAGGGGGAUACGGCCGGAAACGGCCGCUAAUACCCCAUAUGCCGAGAGGUGAAAUGAAUUUCGCCUGAGGAUGAGCCCGCGUCUGAUUAGCUAGUUGGUGGGGUAAUGGCCCACCAAGGUCGACCAUCAGUAGCUGGUCUGAGAGGAUGAUCAGCCACACUGGGACUGAGACACGGCCCAGACUCCUACGGGAGGCAGCAGUGGGGAAUUUUCCGCAAUGGGCGAAAGCCUGACNGAGCAACGCCCCGUGAGGGAUGAAGGCCUCUGGGCUGUAAACCUCUUUUCUCAAGGAAGAAGACAUGACGGUACUUGAGGAAUAAGCCACGGCUAANUCCGUGCCAGCAGCCGCGGUAAUACGGGAGUGGCAAGCGUUAUCCGGAAUUAUUGGGCGUAAAGCGUCCGCAGGCGGCCUUGUAAGUCUGUCGUUAAAGCGUGGAGCUUAACUCCCUUUCAGCGAUGGAAACUACAAGGCUUGAGUGUGGUAGGGGCAGAGGGAAUUCCCGGUGUAGCGGUGAAAUGCGUANAUAUCGGGAAGAACACCAGUGGCGAANGCGCUNUGCUGGGCCAUAACUGACGCUUANGGACCAAAGCCAGGGGAGCG